UCUACGGGAGGCAGCAGUGGGGAAUAUUGCACAAUGGGCGCAAGCCUGAUGCAGCCAUGCCGCGUGUGUGAAGAAGGCCUUCGGGUUGUAAAGCACUUUCAGUCGUGAGGAAGGUAGUGUAGUUAAUAGCUGCAUUAUUUGACGUUAGCGACAGAAGAAGCACCGGCUAACUCCGUGCCAGCAGCCGCGGUAAUACGGAGGGUGCGAGCGUUAAUCGGAAUUACUGGGCGUAAAGCGCAUGCAGGUGGUUUGUUAAGUCAGAUGUGAAAGCCCGGGGCUCAACCUCGGAAUUGCAUUUGAAACUGGCAGACUAGAGUACUGUAGAGGGGGGUAGAAUUUCAGGUGUAGCGGUGAAAUGCGUAGAGAUCUGAAGGAAUACCGGUGGCGAAGGCGGCCCCCUGGACAGAUACUGACACUCAGAUGCGAAAGCGUGGGGAGCAAACAGGAUUAGAUACCCUGGUAGUCCACGCCGUAAACGAUGUCUACUUGGAGGUUGUGGCCUUGGGCCGUGGCUUUCGGAGCUAACGCGUUAAGUAGACCGCCUGGGGAGUACGGUCGCAAGAUUAAAACUCAAAGGAAUUGACGGA
This 587-nucleotide ribosomal RNA is filed under the name uncultured bacterium. Its description in RNAcentral is "bacterial SSU rRNA". It matches the Rfam family "Bacterial small subunit ribosomal RNA", at positions 338 to 917 of the family's 1533-position model. The record is from RNAcentral.